GAUGAACGCUGGCGGCGUGCUUAACACAUGCCAGUCGAACGAUGAUGCCCAGCUUGCUGGGUGGAUUAGUGGCGAACGGGUGAGUAACACGUGAGUAACCUGCCCUUGACUCUGGGAUAAGCCUGGGAAACUGGGUCUAAUACCGGAUACGACCAUCUGGCGCAUGUCAUGGUGGUGGAAAGCUUUUGUGGUUUUGGAUGGACUCGCGGCCUAUCAGCUUGUUGGUGGGGUAAUGGCCUACCAAGGCGACGACGGGUAGCCGGCCUGAGAGGGUGACCGGCCACACUGGGACUGAGACACGGCCCAGACUCCUACGGGAGGCAGCAGUGGGGAAUAUUGCACAAUGGGCGCAAGCCUGAUGCAGCGACGCCGCGUGAGGGAUGACGGCCUUCGGGUUGUAAACCUCUUUCAGUAGGGAAGAAGCGAAAGUGACGGUACCUGCAGAAGAAGCGCCGGCUAACUACGUG
Molecule: ribosomal RNA, 467 nt
Filed under: uncultured bacterium
Lineage: Bacteria
Description: partial 16S ribosomal RNA
Rfam family: Bacterial small subunit ribosomal RNA
Source: RNAcentral